Molecule: ribosomal RNA, 425 nt
Filed under: uncultured Gammaproteobacteria bacterium
Lineage: Bacteria; Pseudomonadati; Pseudomonadota; Gammaproteobacteria
Description: bacterial SSU rRNA
Rfam family: Bacterial small subunit ribosomal RNA
Source: RNAcentral
GCUGGCGGCAUGCCUAAUACAUGCAAGUCGAACGGUAACAGGACGCUGUGAUCCCUUCGGGGUGAACUUGUCGCUGACGAGUGGCGGACGGGUGAGUAAUGCUUGGGAAUCUGCCCAGUAGUGGGGGACAACACGGGGAAACUCGUGCUAAUACCGCAUACGUCCUACGGGAGAAAGUGGGGGAUCUUCGGACCUCACGCUAUUGGAUGAGCCCAAGUCGGAUUAGCUUGUUGGUAGGGUAACGGCCUACCAAGGCGACGAUCCGUAGCUGGUCUGAGAGGACGAUCAGCCACACUGGGACUGAGACACGGCCCAUACUCCUACGGGAGGCAGCAGUAGGGAAUAUUGGACAAUGGGGGCAACCCUGAUCCAGCAAUGCCGCGUGUGUGAAGAAGGCCUGCGGGUUGUAAAGCACUUUCAGUAGA